RNAcentral lists this ribosomal RNA (468 nucleotides) under uncultured bacterium. Its description in RNAcentral is "partial 16S ribosomal RNA". It matches the Rfam family "Bacterial small subunit ribosomal RNA", at positions 28 to 507 of the family's 1533-position model. The record is from RNAcentral.
GACGAACGCUGGCGGCGUGCUUAACACAUGCAAGUCGAACGGAAAGGCCUUGCUUUUGUGGGGUGCUCGAGUGGCGAGCGGGGGAGUAACACGUGAGUAACCUGUCCUUGUCUUUGGGGGAACUUCAGGAGACAGGGGCUCAUACCGGAUAGGAGCUCCUGCUGCGUGGGGGCGGUUGGAAAGUGUCGGUUGUUGGGGCUGGACUCGCGGUUUAUGAGCUGGUUGGUGGGGUAGUGGCUUACCAAGGCUUCGACGGAUAGCCGGCAUUCGAGGGUGGACAGCGACAUGGCGCCUGAGAUACGGACCAGUCUGCAACGGGAGGCAACAGUCGGGAAUAUUACACAAUGGGCCGACGCGUGAUGUAGAAACGCCGCGUGCGGGAUGACGGCCUUCGGGGUGUGAACCGCUUUCGCCUGUGACGAAGCGUGCGUGACGGUAAUGGGUAAAGAAGCACCGGCUAACUACGUG